RNAcentral lists this ribosomal RNA (580 nucleotides) under uncultured bacterium. RNAcentral's name for it is "bacterial SSU rRNA". It matches the Rfam family "Bacterial small subunit ribosomal RNA", at positions 336 to 916 of the family's 1533-position model. The record is from RNAcentral.
CUCCUACGGGAGGCAGCAGUGAGGAAUAUUGGUCAAUGGGCGUAAGCCUGAACCAGCCAUCCCGCGUGAAGGAAGAAGGCGCUAUGCGUUGUAAACUUCUUUUCCAGAGGAAGAAAACCCCUGACGUGUCAGGGCUUGCCGGUACUCUGGGAAUAAGCAUCGGCUAACUCCGUGCCAGCAGCCGCGGUAAUACGGAGGAUGCGAGCGUUAUCCGGAUUUAUUGGGUUUAAAGGGUGCGUAGGCGGAUUAAUAAGUCAGUGGUGAAAACCUUCAGCUUAACUGGAGACUUGCCAUUGAUACUGUUAGUCUUGAGUACGGUCAAGGUAGGCGGAAUGUGUAAUGUAGCGGUGAAAUGCUUAGAUAUUACACAGAACACCGAUUGCGAAGGCAGCUUACUGGGCCAUUACUGACGCUGAUGCACGAAAGCGUGGGGAGCGAACAGGAUUAGAUACCCUGGUAGUCCACGCCGUAAACGAUGAUCACUCGCUGUUGGCGAUACACAGUCAGCGGCUAAGCAAAAGCAUUAAGUGAUCCACCUGGGGAGUACGGCCGCAAGGCUGAAACUCAAAAGAAUUGACGG